UUGGAAAGAAUUACAAGUUUAUAGCAAUACAAGGGAGACACUAAUUAUCACCAGCAAUAGCUGCCAAUGAAUGGCACAAUGAAUGUUCCAAUUAUACCAAAAGGAACAACAACAACAACAACAAAAAUUUCAAACCUCAAACAGAACUCAAUACAAUGCUCCCUACAAAACCUUAAUCUUCUUAACAUUUUCUGAACACUGAUCACAAUUUAUAGUAGAUGUGUCAGCACCCAUGAUCCUAUCCCUCAUACCAAAGAUGAACCUCG
Molecule: long non-coding RNA, 266 nt
Filed under: Amborella trichopoda
Lineage: Eukaryota; Viridiplantae; Streptophyta; Magnoliopsida; Amborellales; Amborellaceae
Description: long non-coding RNA (ATRI_LNC000210)
Source: RNAcentral